GAUGAAGAACGUAGCGAAAUGCGAUACUUGGUGUGAAUUGCAGAAUCCCGUGAACCAUCGAGUCUUUGAACGCAAGUUGCGCCCGAAGCCAUCAGGUUGAGGGCACGUCUGCCUGGGCGUCACAUAUCGUUGCCCAAUGCCUAUUGCAGGGCAAUAGGAAUUUCUAGGGCGAAUGAUGGCUUCCCGUGAGCGUUGUUGCCUCGCGGUUGGUUGAAAAUCGAGUCCUUGGUAGGGUGUGCCAUGGUAGAUGGUGGUCGAGUUAGAACGAUACCGAUCAUGUGCAUGCUCCCCAAAAUAUGGCCUCUAUGACCCACACGCGUCUUUUGACGCUCAUGACGAGACCUCAGGUCAGGCGGGGCUACCCGCUGAAUUUAAGCAUAUCAAUAAGCGGAGGA
Molecule: unclassified non-coding RNA, 395 nt
Filed under: soil metagenome
Description: partial contains 5.8S ribosomal RNA, internal transcribed spacer 2, and large subunit ribosomal RNA
Rfam family: 5.8S ribosomal RNA (bases 1-122)
Source: RNAcentral